RNAcentral lists this ribosomal RNA (490 nucleotides) under uncultured bacterium. RNAcentral's name for it is "partial 16S ribosomal RNA". It matches the Rfam family "Bacterial small subunit ribosomal RNA", at positions 30 to 507 of the family's 1533-position model. The record is from RNAcentral.
AUUGAACGCUGGCGGCAGGCCUAACACAUGCAGGUCGAACGGUAACAGGAAGCAGCUUGCUGCUUCGCUGACGAGUGGCGGACGGGUGAGUAGUGUCUGGGAAACUGCCUGAUGGAGGGGGAUAACUACUGGAAACGGUAGCUAAUACCGCAUAACGUCGCAAGACCAAAGAGGGGGACCUUAGGGCCUCUUGCCAUCGGAUGUGCCCAGAUGGGAUUAGCUAGUAGGUGGGGUAACGGCUCACCUAGGCGACGAUCCCUAGCUGGUCUGAGAGGAUGACCAGCCACACUGGAACUGAGACACGGUCCAGACUCCUACGGGAGGCAGCAGUGGGGAAUAUUGCACAAAGGGCGCAAGCCUGAUGCAGCCAUGCCGCGUGUAUGAAGAAGGCCUUCGGGUUGUAAAGUACUUUCAGCGGGGAGGAAGGGAGUAAAGUUAAUACCUUUGCUCAUUGACGUUACCCGCAGAAGAAGCACCGGCUAACUCCGUG